This is a non-coding RNA of Felis catus (domestic cat), 85 nucleotides long. The record is from Rfam. NCBI's taxonomy places the organism in Eukaryota, Metazoa, Chordata, Mammalia, Carnivora, Felidae.
GCCUGGGUGGCUUAGUUGGUUAAGUGUCAGACUUCAGCUCAGGUCAUGAUCUCCUGGUUUGUGGGUUCAAGCCCUGCAUCGGGCU